Molecule: ribosomal RNA, 194 nt
Filed under: uncultured Aquabacterium sp.
Lineage: Bacteria; Pseudomonadati; Pseudomonadota; Betaproteobacteria; Burkholderiales; Sphaerotilaceae
Description: partial 16S ribosomal RNA
Rfam family: Bacterial small subunit ribosomal RNA
Source: RNAcentral
CCUACGGGAGGCAGCAGUGGGGAAUUUUGGACAAUGGGCGCAAGCCUGAUCCAGCCAUGCCGCGUGCGGGAAGAAGGCCUUCGGGUUGUAAACCGCUUUUGUCAGGGAAGAAACGGUCUGGGUUAAUACCCCGGACUAAUGACGGUACCUGAAGAAUAAGCACCGGCUAACUACGUGCCAGCAGCCGCGGUAAU